Thamnophis elegans (Western terrestrial garter snake) is the source of this 782-nucleotide long non-coding RNA. RefSeq lists it as uncharacterized. The transcript has 2 exons. Lineage: Eukaryota; Metazoa; Chordata; Lepidosauria; Squamata; Natricidae. The record is from RefSeq and is a predicted model, not a curated record.
AUAAGAUUGGUUUGGCAUCUGAUUUUAUUUCCAAAUAUAGUUUCAAAAAUCAUUCACCCACUAAAGGAAGCAUUGAAUGGAUACUGCUGGUGGUAAUUCAGAUUCCCUUCCUUUACUGCUGGAGAUAAAAUGUUGAAUGAAAGUCUAAAGGUAGAAAAUAUAAGCAGAACUUCUGAUAUUGUUGAAUUCUAACUUCCACCAUUCCUCAUCAAGGGACCUGCUGGGAGCUGGAUUUCACCUGUAUCUGGAAAACUGACUGUUGAUAUAAAAGAAAUAGUGUUUGGAUUAAAGCUGGGAUGUGGGAUAACCAACAUUUCAAGCUGGAGCUCUCUUGUUUUUUUAAAAGUAGGUUAAGAAAGGGAGAUAAUUUUGUAAGUCUUGGAGGCAACUAAAGAUUGCCAUUUAUAAAUUUUCCUUAGCUCCUUUUGCCUGGAUUUUGAGCACCAAGAAGAGCCAUGAAUUUGACACAGCAGGGAUCUUUAUAGAUAUUCUGUCUCCACUAGAUGAGAGCCUUCGAACCUACAAACCAAACUUUAGCACUCUCGGGUAAGGAAUUUCCAAAUGCAGUUUUCGAUGGAGGGAGCGGAGGAGAUGCAUGAUGUGCUGGGAGUCCUUGUUGCCGCAGCAGCAGGGUAAUGUGCUACCCUUGUGAGACUUCAUUUUGGAAGCAAAGUAGAAGGUUAGAGUAGGCUGCAAAUAGUUUCUUAUGGGUGGCAAGACCAGGAACGUGGAGUCACUUGCCCCCAGAAGGUCUUCUGAAAAAAGAAAACAAUGACUAUGUC